This 965-nucleotide ribosomal RNA is filed under the name uncultured Staphylococcus sp. RNAcentral's name for it is "bacterial SSU rRNA". It matches the Rfam family "Bacterial small subunit ribosomal RNA", at positions 44 to 990 of the family's 1533-position model. Lineage: Bacteria; Bacillati; Bacillota; Bacilli; Caryophanales; Staphylococcaceae. The record is from RNAcentral.
GUGCCUAAUACAUGCAAGUCGAGCGAACAGACGAGGAGCUUGCUCCUCUGACGUUAGCGGCGGACGGGUGAGCAACACGUGGAUAACCUACCUAUAAGACUGGGAUAACUUCGGGAAACCGGAGCUAAUACCGGAUAAUAUAUUGAACCGCAUGGUUCAAUAGUGAAAGACGGUUUUGCUGUCACUUAUAGAUGGAUCCGCGCCGCAUUAGCUAGUUGGUAAGGUAACGGCUUACCAAGGCAACGAUGCGUAGCCGACCUGAGAGGGUGAUCGGCCACACUGGAACUGAGACACGGUCCAGACUCCUACGGGAGGCAGCAGUAGGGAAUCUUCCGCAAUGGGCGAAAGCCUGGCGGAGCAACGCCGCGUGAGUGAUGAAGGUCUUCGGAUCGUAAAACUCUGUUAUUAGGGAAGAACAAAUGUGUAAGUAACUAUGCACGUCUUGACGGUACCUAAUCAGAAAGCCACGGCUAACUACGUGCCAGCAGCCGCGGUAAUACGUAGGUGGCAAGCGUUAUCCGGAAUUAUUGGGCGUAAAGCGCGCGUAGGCGGUUUUUUAAGUCUGAUGUGAAAGCCCACGGCUCAACCGUGGAGGGUCAUUGGAAACUGGAAAACUUGAGUGCAGAAGAGGAAAGUGGAAUUCCAUGUGUAGCGGUGAAAUGCGCAGAGAUAUGGAGGAACACCAGUGGCGAAGGCGACUUUCUGGUCUGUAACUGACGCUGAUGUGCGAAAGCGUGGGGAUCAAACAGGAUUAGAUACCCUGGUAGUCCACGCCGUAAACGAUGAGUGCUAAGUGUUAGGGGGUUUCCGCCCCUUAGUGCUGCAGCUAACGCAUUAAGCACUCCGCCUGGGGAGUACGACCGCAAGGUUGAAACUCAGAGGAAUUGACGGGGACCCGCACAAGCGGUGGAGCAUGUGGUUUAAUUCGAAGCAACGCGAAGAGCCUUACCAAAUCUUGACAUCCU